Molecule: ribosomal RNA, 253 nt
Filed under: uncultured bacterium
Lineage: Bacteria
Description: partial 16S ribosomal RNA
Rfam family: Bacterial small subunit ribosomal RNA
Source: RNAcentral
UACGUAGGAGGCGAGCGUUGUCCGGAUUUACUGGGCGUAAAGAGCGCGCAGGCGGUCGAAUAAGUCGAAUGUGAAAGCCCCCGGCUUAACUGGGGAGGGUCAUUCGAUACUGCUCGACUUGAAGGCAGGAGAGGGUAGUGGAAUUCCCGGUGUAGUGGUGAAAUGCGUAGAUAUCAGGAGGAACACCGGUGGCGAAGGCGGCCCUCUGGACGGAUACUGACGCUGAGGCGCGAAAGCGUGGGGAUCAAACAGG